Molecule: long non-coding RNA, 3885 nt
Filed under: Amborella trichopoda
Lineage: Eukaryota; Viridiplantae; Streptophyta; Magnoliopsida; Amborellales; Amborellaceae
Description: long non-coding RNA (ATRI_LNC003768)
Source: RNAcentral
UAUUUUUUAUUUAUUUUAUUAUAUAGAGAUAGAAAGGAUUAGGGUGAUUAUAUGGGGACGCUUUGAUAAAGAGGAAAGAGCGGGAGAGAGAGAGAGAAGAUUAGGGUGUUUGUACCUCAUACUUUAUAGGGAGAGGAUUGGGAGGUUUGGAGGGAGAUACAUUUGGUGAGUGCGGUACUAAAAUUCAAGGUAUGAUUUGGCUAGAUUCCCCUGAUUUCAAAUUUUAGACAUAUAUUUGUUCAAACAGAGAAUAAGGGAUUAGAGAGAAAAAUGAGAACAGGGGUUUAGGUUCCAUCCCUUUUAGAGAGGAAAACCCCUUUUGACAGAGAUGAAUAAGGGGGGACCCCCUUAGAGAGAGAACUGGCGUUUGAUUUCUACCUCCUUUAAGUGAAGGAAAACAUGAAAUCGGUCAGAACUCGGAAGGUCCCAAGUCCGAGCCGUGUUUGACAGAUUGGGUUGAGUCUGUCAUGGACUUAGCCGAGUUUGUCCAAAAAAUAUAAUCAAACAAUGAUAACCAGAUAAAUUCUCCAGUUCCCAUGUGCAUGUUAGGUUACCGGUUAGCACCACAACUCUGCUCAGAGCACUUGCCAUCUUGCCAGGAUAACUUCUUCUGUGUUGUAAACUACUCCUCAUCACAAACCUAGCACCCAACCAUAAGCAAUAUGCUAUAGCGGCCAUCCCCAAGUACCUCCAUUCCCUGUUGUCGAGCUUAUGGCUCUCAUAAAUACAAUCUCAUAGUCUGAUCCAUGUUCACCUCAAACGACACGCGGUAGUCCAAGCAUAGCACCUAUGUCCCCAGCUCACUUGAGUUUUCAAACACCGGUGAUGAUCAAACAUUUGAAGCAGCAAGUGGGUCAUCUCCUAUGCCUGCAUCUUGUUCAUCAGAAGGUGCCACCAUUUUAUCGGAGGAGAAAGCGAGUCAGGUUUGUCUGAAUGAAACUAGCGCAAUCAGAGCUCUUGCAAGAGGGAACCAUUCUCGUGUUUGCAAGAGGAUGUCGGAGCCCUUAACGGGUUGAAGAGAUAGCGCUAAACAGGCCACGGUCACCAAUAAUUGUGAAUGGUAACUACUAAUGGCCAAGUUUGAGGAAAAAAUGCUUUGUUUCCUAAAGCCCCAUUCCUUGAACAGAGACCAUAUGAAUUUUUAUUUUCUCUUUUCUUCUGUAGAGCUUUCCAAUAUAGUUGGUUUGUAAGUGGGAGUGAAUCGGAGAUCGGAUCUUGCAGGGUUCAGUGGUUUUUGGAUCCUUUUUAUCCCUUCUCUCCUGCAAAACUUGAAUUUCGAAUCUGGGGAGAAAUGGGAGAUGAAGUCUUCUGGUUUCUAGGAUUCACUAUAAAACUUGGUUUUUAAUCUAAAUUAUGAAGGAUAUGAACAAGGACUUUAAGGAUUAUAACUUUCUUGGGCUUUGGGGUCUGCAGAAAUAUAACUUUCUUGGGCUUUGGUUUCUUUUCCCUGCGGGUUGUAUGAGUUUAUUUAUUUUUUUGUUGGUUAUAUUUAUGUGUUUCUACAUACGCAUCAAAUUGCUUUAAACUUUGACUGGGUACUGAAUUGACGUUUUUCCAUUGAUUUUUUUUUGUGUAUGUUUGAAAUCCAUUGUUGUUCCCUCUUAAUUUUGUCCAAUUUAUACAAAUAUCUGUUUUACUUUCGUUGAAAUCCAAGGAUGAGAGGUUUUUAUCUUCAUAUUGGGAAGUUAAUUGAGCAUUUUGUAGAAUUCCCAUACUUCGGGCAUUUAAAAAGGAUCCAUAGUGUAGACUGCAACUUGAUUUCAAGGUCUAUAUUCAUUUGAUAGCACUGAACUUGGAGUAUUUUGCUGCAUAAUGUUCGGAUUUUGUGAACAGAUACUUUGGAUUUUUGUUAUGUAUUUGUGCAAGGUCAAUCUGAAUUCUUCAUCUAUCUAUCUCUCUCUCUCUCUCUUUCUUUAUAGACUGUACUUUCUUGCUUUCAUGAGUUUCUCUAUUUCUUGUGAUGAAUUAUUUCUUUUUAUGAUCUCCGUAAGUUUAUGUUCAUGCAUUAUUUCUUUUGUUGGAUGAUGCCAAUUUUUUCUGAUAAAAAAAUAGCUAUAGCUAUUUUUUUUUUCUCGUGACUGGUAGUGUUUUUUUUAUUUGUAUGUUUGUGAAAUUACAUGCUAUAUUCUUUGAUGUACUAUGUAGUUUUACCAAAUUUUUGAAGAAAGUGCUUCAAGAACUAGUAUAGUUGAAAAUCUGGUAAAGAAAAAUGUGCAUGAGAUUUAGAAGUUGCAACGGAAAUGUGUACCUACAAGUUUAAUGGUUCUUUUAUGACAUUUUUUUCUUCGAAAGAAAUUGCAUUUGUUGUUACAAUAGAUGAUUUAGGUAUUGUAUGCCUUGUUUUUCUUCUAUUUCAUUACUUGUGUCUUCUCAUUAUGCUCUCUUUUAAUUUAUUUAUUUAAUUUUGCUGAUACCUAACUCCGCAUUGAUUGGCCCCAUGCUGAUCGUGAGGAGGGUUGCAUUUGGUAGGCAACCACCACAUUUUUUCACAAAUUUUGAACCCAUAGGCAGAGCAGGAUUUGUGUAGCUAACUCUAGAUAGUUGGGAUAAGGCUCGGAUGAAUCUUGCCGGUGUUGCAUUUUUGCUUUUCUUUACAUUAGCUGAGUGAACGAGAUAUUUGAUUUGGAGAACUUGUCUGGGAAUUUAUUGUAGGGAUUAAAAAAUUCAAUUUUUUUGGUAACUAACUAUGUUAGAAUCGAAGCUGCUAGGCUAAUUAUUUAUUUAUAUAUUAACUUUGAUAAGUUUGUGUGUGCAUGUUUUGUGAUAUUUCUGUUUUAUUUGUUUGUGGGCUUGCAUUCCUGGUCUUUCUGGUUCUUUUUUGGUGGUGUAUGAAUUACCCAUGUUGUCAUUUGUUAUUUUUGUCUUUCCUAAUUAAUGAAUACUAAGGCUUGAAUAGUAUUCAGCAUACCCAAGUCGUAGUUCAACUUGGCUUAAUCUUCAUGUGAGUUAUACUAUCUUGAGUAAUAAUGUUGUCUUGAGUUCUUUUUCUAGCUACAACACUUAGAAUAUCGUUAGGCUGGAUAUCAUGCACAUGAUGUAUAUGGUACGUUAGUUUAUGGUGAGUUCUAUCGUUUCAUGGUUCAUUGAAGUAUUUGUAUGUGUAUCAUCUAUUGGUCAUAGGCUCUACAUGUAUUCCAUCUCAUUGCUAUAACUCAUAGUAUAUAUGAAACUAGUUUUAACUGGUUUUCCUAACAGUUGGGAGUUGUCAAUUGGUUUGUGUUUGUAUAUUGAAUCCACAUUGGUUUUACAAAAGAGUUAAAAACAACCACCAUUUCUAUUUUUUGUGGAACGACAAAAUAGCACGUUGUCAAUUAAUACAAUUUUAAAUAAAAAGACUUCUAUCAAGAUAAUGUUUGCUAUGGAAACUUCUAUUUUGGGCUUUUAUGAUCUCAUAUUUCUAAUUCAUUUUGUUAAAGCAUAAAAUUCACCUUUUUGAAUUGUGCUGAUUUGGUGGCAUGGCCUUGUCUUCCUUUUUGGGAUUUUAGGGGGAGAAAUCAAGUUUCUCUUUGGUGAUAGCCUCUUCUUCCUUCUUGUUUUCUCUGAAAAUUUGAUGUUUUAUGAGUUUUUGACUUCUUGCGAGUUUUUAAUUGGUAAGGCUUUUGCGUGAGUGCGGUUGCAUGCGACGUCACGCCAAAACCGGAUCGAGGAACAUGAAUCCUUCUCUGUGAUGCGAAACAUCUACCCCUUCUCACCCCGAGACUGAAACCCUAACCUCCAAUGUUUUUUUUGUUUGUUUUGCACAAGUCAAAGGACUUCAGUUCACUUUGCAUUGAUCUUAUGUUGAAUUUUUUAAAACUGUUUGCCUUGUUCAGUUUUGUUGCUUUUCUUAACGUUUUGAUUAAUCUUGAGAAUUAGAUUUGCAUCAUAAUGACUUUUUACUGUGGG